Helianthus annuus (common sunflower) is the source of this 1288-nucleotide long non-coding RNA. RefSeq lists it as uncharacterized. The record is from RefSeq and is a predicted model, not a curated record. The transcript is spliced from 2 exons. Lineage: Eukaryota; Viridiplantae; Streptophyta; Magnoliopsida; Asterales; Asteraceae.
GUUGUAAACUGUUUUCGAACGUCAUAAACUUCAAAUAUAUUAGAACAUCACGGAGCUGCAAAAAUAACACUCGUGACACCUUCCUUCAUGUCAAUGGGACAAGUUCUAUAAAACUACAACAAAAUAUCAUUCAGGAUUAAUCUAAAUAACAUGGGAAAACCUGUAAAUACAAAACCAAUCAAUAGUUCAUGUGAAAUGUUUCAACACAAUUUUGCACUGUCCAAAGGAUUAUGUUGAGCAAUUGAUGGCCUAGAUAUUUAUGAUUUGGCUUCAUUGCUUCUCCGGAAUAACCCACAGAUGUAUAGAAUUCUAGAAUCUUCCAGAAGUUGGCAUGCUCAUUGAGUAAUAGAGAUUCGUUUCCAUAUUUAUCAAACUUCCCGGCGCUAGUUUGCUCAUGGAAAUGAUAGUAAACGGCCAUUUACCCCUCUUGUAGAGCCUUCACACACUCCUUAUACAAGCUCCUCCCCGUGGUUGUGAAAAUAUUUCACAAAAUGAAGACAUGAUGAGUGAGACAUAAACACAAACAUCUGGUGUGCAGAAUAUAAACCUAACAAAGUUGAUAGAAGAGAAACCCGCAUGGCCAUCUUAGAAAGCAGCAAAAUGGAAACCUUGAAGGUUGUUAUUGGCGACUAUAACAACAUCGUCUUCAAUCUCCAAUUACUUUGCCAAUUGGACCCAAUCCACCCCUCUGGUUCUCCUUUUGGGCUGCAAAUAAUCUAUUUCUGGAAAAAAAAUCGAAGAAAGUCAAAGUCAGAAUUUGGUCUUAGUCCUAAUGGGCCAAAUUUGUAUACUAUGCUGAUGCUACAUAUUGUGACAAUUAUAGAAAGUCAAAAGCUUCUGAUAGGUCAAAGUCUACAGCAGCUUGUGAUAGUUGGCAGCUGCUGAGGAUGUUGAUAUUCAUAGGAUGUCAAAGAAUAAGGCAAUCGAUCCAACAAAAAAGGGGUGUUGUUCACUGUCAACUUUAUAAUGGGCCUUUACAUUGGCAGGUAGAAAGGGUUCAUUUGAUAAACUGUCUGCCAUCUAUGAUCUAUCUAUUCUCUGGGUGUUUCUACGAGUUAUGAUGGGAGUCGUUGUUGGUCAACCAUUACUCGAAGGUCAAAAUCAAUGGCAGUUGGAUCACAAGAAAUGAUGGUGAUCUGUGUGACACGUGCCAUGCUGGUAAUCAAAUACAAAUAGAUCACUGAUCCGAGUCGCGUGUUUCUUUUGUAGUACUUUAAUUAGUUUCAGUUCUAUAAUAUGUUGAACAAAAUAUUAUAAUAUUAAAGAAAUACAUAUCUAUCAUUUUAUA